UUAUAUGAGAGUUUGAUCCUGGCUCAGGAUGAACGCCGGCGGUGUGCCUAAUACAUGCAAGUCGUACGCACUGGCCCAACUGAUUGAUGGUGCUUGCACCUGAUUGACGAUGGAUCACCAGUGAGUGGCGGACGGGUGAGUAACACGUAGGUAACCUGCCCCGGAGCGGGGGAUAACAUUUGGAAACAGAUGCUAAUACC
Molecule: ribosomal RNA, 200 nt
Filed under: Limosilactobacillus balticus
Lineage: Bacteria; Bacillati; Bacillota; Bacilli; Lactobacillales; Lactobacillaceae
Also listed under: 1 other name
Description: Limosilactobacillus sp. BG-AF3-A partial 16S ribosomal RNA
Rfam family: Bacterial small subunit ribosomal RNA
Source: RNAcentral